GGGCCGUUAGCUCAAUUGGUAGAGCACCGGACUUUUAAUCCGAUGGUUCUGGGUUCGAGUCCCAGGCGGCCCACCA
This 76-nucleotide transfer RNA is filed under the name Gammaproteobacteria bacterium. RNAcentral describes it as "tRNA-Lys". It matches the Rfam family "tRNA". From Rfam's summary of the family: Transfer RNA (tRNA) molecules are approximately 80 nucleotides in length. Their secondary structure includes four short double-helical elements and three loops (D, anti-codon, and T loops). Lineage: Bacteria; Pseudomonadati; Pseudomonadota; Gammaproteobacteria. The record is from RNAcentral. RNAcentral also lists the same sequence under 1 other name.